Molecule: ribosomal RNA, 368 nt
Filed under: uncultured organism
Description: bacterial SSU rRNA
Rfam family: Bacterial small subunit ribosomal RNA
Source: RNAcentral
CGGAGGAUCCAAGCGUUAUCCGGAUUUAUUGGGUUUAAAGGGUGCGUAGGCGGCCUGUUAAGUCAGGGGUGAAAGACGGUAGCUCAACUAUCGCAGUGCCCUUGAUACUGAUGGGCUUGAAUGUACUAGAGGUAGGCGGAAUGUGACAAGUAGCGGUGAAAUGCAUAGAUAUGUCACAGAACACCAAUUGCGAAGGCAGCUUACUAUGGUAUGAUUGACGCUGAGGCACGAAAGCGUGGGGAUCAAACAGGAUUAGAUACCCUGGUAGUCCACGCCCUAAACGAUGAAUACUCGAUGUUAGCGAUAUACAGUUAGCGUCAAAGCGAAAGCGUUAAGUAUUCCACCUGGGGAGUACGCCCGCAAGGGUG